RNAcentral lists this ribosomal RNA (380 nucleotides) under uncultured prokaryote. RNAcentral describes it as "partial 16S ribosomal RNA". The record is from RNAcentral.
CCCUAUGGGGUGCAUACAGGAGAAGAAUGGUCGCUUAUCCCGAUCGACGGUUUCUUUUACAAUAAUACCGAUAACCUCAUUGUCACAGUGAUCGAAAAGAAACAAGGGUAUUCCUCCUCCGAUGAUCAGUUUUGCAGUACCGUCAAUACCUUACCUCAGAACCUUUGUAUAGGGGCCCAAAAUGACCAGACCCCUUAUGAUCCGAACAGCCUCCCCGCCGGAAACCAAUAUCCCAACCGGGCUAACCUCAAACUAUGGUUCGGAGAGAUGCCUUCUACCCCGGCAGUCAGGACCACACCGGUAUCCCUCGAUUUCGGACAAGUCGAGGCAUCCUUAGGUAAAAUCAUGAAUGUGGAAGUGAUGAAUAUUGGCGGGAGAGC